This 287-nucleotide unclassified non-coding RNA is filed under the name Hevea brasiliensis (rubber tree). The record is from RNAcentral. Lineage: Eukaryota; Viridiplantae; Streptophyta; Magnoliopsida; Malpighiales; Euphorbiaceae.
AAAAAAAUGGCAUUAAAAAUAAGAGGAAAAAUACAAUAAAAUGAAAUAAAUAAAAUAUUAAUUAGUUUUCCCUAAACCAACUUCUGAAUUUAAUCCACUGAAAUUCUAAAAUUUUGAUAUGCAACCUUACAAGGAUGCGUGUUGAUCAUGUUACCAGCAUCUCUCAUUCAGUCUUUUUUUUCUCCUACUAUAUAUGGUGUGAUUGAUUGCAUGAUUUAUGAAACAGAAGUUAAUAGAUCAGAAGAAGCUAGCAAUUGAAAUGGACAGGGAACUAUUCCUUGAAUAAU